CCAUUUCGCUUUGCCGAGAUUAGCAAACCGCAAAGUGUUUUCUGUGCGCGCGGAAGACCGCAGUCACGAGCGAAACGUCGCGAAAGGAACCUGUCAAGUGAGCGCAUUCUCCCCGCCGGUUAGGCACAAGCGAAAUAGAAGUCGACCAGUCAAAAUCGAGCUGCCCUGUAGCUGUCGUCAACCACCGCAAACAUACGGUGAUAUUAUAUGGGCAACAGCGCCGAACUUUUCGCGGCGCUGGCGUCAGUCCGAGGCGGUACAGGCCCCGCUGCGGGGCGUUCGUGCUAUGCGUGCUGGCGGCAGUACACGAACAAAGUUGUGAAGCGGUGCAGCGUGGCUUUUACCACAUUUCAGCACAAUGCUCAGUGCCAACGUUUGCUUCUGUACGUGCUUCGCCAGGAUGUUCGGCCCCUUCUUGGACGGAGCUGGCUGCAGCAAAUAAAGCUAGGCCGGGUGCAAGUCUGCAGCCUAAGGAAUCGGCAGCAUGUGCAAACGGCCAGCUCGAAGCCUCCCGUGUUGCAAAGCCUGCUGGACCGUUACCCAGACAUGUUCAAGGAUGAGCGGGAUACCAUUCAAGGAUGGGCCGGCCCACGAGUAUGCUGCACGCUUCCAUCACCGUUCACACGAUGUAGAGUUCUUACACAACACUCAAGAGGAUGUUCAUGAGCAGUGCAUUUACGUGACGCCAGUCAGCAUCAGAAGCUCUGUCAACGGCUGUGGAAUCUCUAAACUUUAAAGGACGGAAGAGGAUUUCUAUUGUAUGGCCUGAACUAGAUCCUCCUAUAACCUGCCACGACAGUUUUGGGCAGCACAGUUGAGUCGAAAGUUUUACACAACCCACAAAGGGGCCCAAACUGGACAGGCGCUAACUUCCAUCUUCCACCGACUUUCCAGCCGGUCAAAAGCCAGAAGACAGGCGGUGCAAAGUGAAACACAAGGAAGAAUUUGUCUCAUGUGCCCAAGAUGUUGUCUAUCGGAUACCACAAUCUUGCGGCAAAAUAUACCUAGGGCAGACGGAACGAUGCCUAAACGAGUGGUUAAGGAAGCACAACUGGAAUGUGAAAAAUGGAGGACAGGGACGCCUGGUGUUACACUGCCGAGACUGUAAGUGCGAGCCACAUCUUGAUAACACUGCAGUCUUCUUUAAAGACAAGGGUCGUUGCACGCACGAGACCAUGGAAGCUGAAAUAAUGACUAGUGAUGUAUAUGGGUGCAUCAGCUCACCAUCUCUUUUGUUAUCUGCCAAAGAAAUCCACUUUAUUGAGUGAAGGCAGUUGGUUACAACUGCUUAGUAAUGGACACAUGUUAGACAGUACGAUCAAAUGAUUGGUUAUGUGCAUUCUUGUCUUUUGUGUUUCUUUUUGUCUGUUUUUCUGUAUAUAAUGUUUGUAUCUUGCAUUAAACACUAGGUGGAAGUUA
Dermacentor albipictus is the source of this 1419-nucleotide long non-coding RNA. RefSeq lists it as uncharacterized. Lineage: Eukaryota; Metazoa; Arthropoda; Arachnida; Ixodida; Ixodidae. The record is from RefSeq and is a predicted model, not a curated record.